Alligator mississippiensis (American alligator) is the source of this 1393-nucleotide long non-coding RNA. RefSeq lists it as uncharacterized. The transcript is spliced from 5 exons. The record is from RefSeq and is a predicted model, not a curated record. NCBI's taxonomy places the organism in Eukaryota, Metazoa, Chordata, Crocodylia, Alligatoridae.
ACACCCCUUCCUCCACUCAAACAUCCUGCUGGCUGCAACUGUGGACUACAAAUCCCAGAGGCACCUGGAAGCAGGAAAAGGAAGUGAUCAGCAACCCUACAGAGUCUUGCCAUUGUAAGUCUGGACUGCAAAUCCAAGAGACCUCAGGGGCAGCAGGAAGAGGAAGUGAACACACAGCUAGAGAGCCUUGUUCUAGUGCCUCCCGGCUUCUGGCCUGAGCCACUGCAGGCAUGUGUCUACAUUUCUUGAAUCAAAGCAGUCACUGAAGCCAUGAAUUUGAAGGAAACUCCGUGAUUCUCAUGAUGAAUCCCGCCAAACAAUCAGAAGGAAGAAUUCCCAGGCCAUAUUGUUCAGCUGUAGAUGUUGACCUGUUGGAAAAACUUAUUUUACAAAUAAGGCUACAAUGCUGACAAGAAAUACACUGUGAAAGCACAAGUUCAACCAAGAGAAGAUCUAUCUGCAUCUGCUUUGGUUCACACCAGUCCUAUUAAUCAUGAGAAGCAGGUACAGAAGAAAGCACAGAUGCUUUUCAGCAGGCAAGCAAGCAGGUGGUAUACUUCCAUUGUACACUAGAGUGCACUAGAGAUGAUCUGGAUGUUGCAGCACUUUGUCAGCCCAGCCAGUCUUUAAAGCAAAUGACAUGAAGUGACCCAAAGCCAAGUCUGAGACUACCUCUCCAGCAUUUACAGAGGCCCAAAUUUAAUGGGACUUAGAAAGACCAUCAACAAUGAUGUUUAGGAAUAGAACACUUUUCCACAGUGCAUUUGCAUCACACUGCUUUAAGGUUACAUACAAAAAUAUCAUUUUAAAAGAUGCUUUAAAUUGGUGGUCAUCAUUCUUUAGACUCAAGACACCCUUUGGAAGACACCAGCUCUUAGUUUUCACUCAUUUGGGGGUAUGGAAAAUGAAUAGAGUAAUUAUUUUCUUGCAAAGAACUCAGAAAGACUACAACAGGUCAGAAUGUCUUUAAAACUCUGGGUUCCUAUGUGAAAGCUCCGGGGUUAUCUUAUGAAUCAUGUGUAGGUCUUUGCACACUUAACUGGGUGCAUCUUCAUGUGAAAUUAGAGCAGCUGAAUAAACUCCAGCACAGUUUGCACUGGAGUUUAUUGCUCCUGGGUGCAAGGUUUAUACGUGAGCCCAGGACCACAGCACACUAAUCAGGGGCACCCUGCUGUGGCACCCUGGUUUAAAAUCACUGCUUUAAUCUAACUUUCUAGCUAAACUGUAAGAGUUCUUCUUUAGCUAUUGUUGGCUCAAAACACACUCUGCUUAUGCCCAUGAAUUUGGUAUGCUUGUCACUAGCAUUAUAAAACUCAGCAACAGUAAUUUACAGUGAGUUAUAUCCUGAUUAUAUCCAGUAAAGGAUUUGCAUACAUACAAAUAAGGCAUGCGG